CGGAACAGGUGCAGACCAGAGCAGAGCUUUCAAUGAAAAUUUUAAGCAAGAUCAAGAUCCUGAAGCAUUUCUUCAAAAAGAAAUGCUUUGUAGGGGCCAGAUGCCACACAAGGCAGCUUACACACCUGGCACUAUUCCUUUAAAUACUUCUCUAAGGAAUUUCCUUCAUCUCUCAUUCUACAGACAAAGAAGCUAAAGAUUCAAAGAUCCCACGGAUCCUAGUGGGGAGUUGAACAGGAAUGAUGACUUCAAAGGCGGGGAAGCAGGGAUCUGUCUCCUCUCAGGGGGUUUAUAAACAGAGAAGUCCUUCAGAAGAAUCAUGGCAUAUUCAAGGAGCACAGAUUCCUGGGCGUUAGUCAGCAGAGUGACCACGUCAGCAUUCUUCAGGGCAGGGCCAGCCUCUUCAGGUGACCAGAAUCCAGAUGUUUUCCGCGUCCCCACCCUGUACUCAGGACCAUUUCUGGCUCCAUGAUAGCCUGUUCCUCACUCACCUACUCACUGUAUCAUUUAAAAAAUUUUAUUGUUUGACACUUCAGAGUGGCAGAGCAGAGUAAGACAGACUGAAUUUAAUUUACACACAUACAUGCACACAAAUAUACAGAAACAGGAACUUUGACAACUUACAGUGUGUGUGUAUGUGUGUGUGUGUGUGUGUGUAUAAGUUUAUACAUAUUUAUAUAAAGGGAUUUCAAAAAGUUUGGGAAAAAUAAAAUAUAAAAUUACAAACUUUAUUUCUCCACAUAAGAUCUAUCAAGUUCAAGAUACUUGUGUAAGCCAUGGUAUCAGCCAUUUAGUUCAUCCUUAAGAGCUGAGAGUCCUAGGAAUUUAACCAUGUCAGUGCAGUCACUUUUAUAUUAAAAUAACUGAAAAAUAAAAUGGGUAUCCUUAUGGCUUUUUCAGAUUAGGAACCAAAAGUAAGUCAGAAGCAGCCAAAUCAGGACAGUAUGAUGGAUGCCUCAUGAUUUUCUAUUAAGACUUCCACAAAUGUGCCCUUGCUUAAUGAGAAGAAGGAGCAGACGCGUUUUCGUGGUGAAGGACUCUCUGAUGGAGUCUCGCUCUGUCGCGCAGGCUGGAGUACAGUGUCACGAUCUCAGCUCACUGUAAUCUCUGUCUCCCGGAUUCAAGCGAUUCUCCUGCCUCAGCCUCCUGAGCCCCCCAACCAUAACUUAGGAAAGAAUGUGAGAGAUCAGACAGCAAAAGAGGACCAUGUGGAUUACUGUAAAAUGUUACCAUCCAGAAAAACCCAAAGGGUAAAGAAGUGGACAACCAUCACCACUAUCAAAUUUCAGAACAUUCUCAUCAUUCCAGAAAGAAACCUGUACACGUUGGCAGUCACUCCUAACUUACCCCUUCCUCCAUCUCCUGGAAACCAGUGAUCUACAUUCUGUAUCUAGAGACUUGCCUAUUCUGGUCAUUUAAUAUAAAUGGGAUCACACAUUUAAUGUCCAAUACGUGGCUUCUGUCCUUUAGCAUAAUAUUUUCAAUGUUGGCUCAUGUUGCAGCAUGUAUCAGUGCUUCAUUCCUUUUUAUUACUAAAUAACAUUCUAUGGUAUGGAUAGAUCAUAUUUUAUUUAAGUACUUAUUAGUUGAUAGACAUUUGGGUUUUUCUAUUUUUAACUGUUAAGAAUAAUGCUGUUAGGAAUAUUCAUGUACAGGGUUUGUAUAAACAUAUACUUUCAAUUCUCUUAGGUGUAAGUCUAGGAGUGAAAUUGGUAGGUCAUAUGAUAACACCCUGUUCUAGACAUUUUCAGAAAUUACUGACCUGCUUUCUAAAAUGGCUGCACAGUUUUACAAUUCCAACAGGAAUAUCUGAGGCUUCCAAUUUCUCCACGUCUUUCAUGUCAUAUAAUGUCACCUUUUUUGUUUUAGUUACUGUGGUGAUUGUGAAGAGAUAGCUCACUGUGAUUUUGAUUUGCAUUUCCCUACUGACUAAUAAAAUGAUAUUGACAAUGUAUUUUUGUAAUCACUGAUCACUUGUAUAUCUUCUUUGAAGAGCUUGUCUGUUCAAAUUCUUUACUCAUUACUUAACUGGGUUACUUGCAAUUAUCUUUUGGCUAAAGAGUUCAUCAGCUGGGAGUAUCCAUCUAGAUAGAAAUGCAACCUGUUUUUUUCUUGAUACUUUUUCCUUACCAAGUGUAUGAUUUGCAUAUAUUUCCUCUCCUUUUGUAGGUUGUUUUUUACUUUCCUGAUUGUGCAGCACAGUUUCUAAAAACAUUUUCAUAAAGCCUAAUUGAUCUACUUCUUUUGGGUCACCUGGACAUUUGGUAUCUAUCAUUCAUUAAGAAAUUAUCGCCCAAUCCAAGGUCACAACGAUUUACAGCUAUGUUUUUGUUUUUUCUAAAAUUGAACUUUAAAUUUUGCAUUGAC
This 2367-nucleotide long non-coding RNA is filed under the name Papio anubis (olive baboon). Its description in RNAcentral is "lncRNA (ENSPANG00000044781.1)". Lineage: Eukaryota; Metazoa; Chordata; Mammalia; Primates; Cercopithecidae. The record is from RNAcentral.